CAGUCUCCCGCCUCGCUCAAUCCGCUGCCCCGUAGCAGAUUUCGAGCUGGAUGCAACGCAUCGUUGAAGAUGUCGCUGUUACGAGACAAGAGAAACCUCCAGGUGACGAUCUUUGAGUACGGGGCCGUCUUGAUGUCUACUGUGUCGGUCGUUCGUAAUUUAUCAGUCUCUACAUAC
RNAcentral lists this small nucleolar RNA (177 nucleotides) under Parastagonospora nodorum SN15. The record is from RNAcentral. Lineage: Eukaryota; Fungi; Ascomycota; Dothideomycetes; Pleosporales; Phaeosphaeriaceae.